RNAcentral lists this ribosomal RNA (1719 nucleotides) under Thraustochytriidae sp. RNAcentral describes it as "SSU rRNA". It matches the Rfam family "Eukaryotic small subunit ribosomal RNA". Lineage: Eukaryota; Bigyra; Thraustochytrida; Thraustochytriidae. The record is from RNAcentral.
GGGCGGCUGUCUAAGAUUAGCCAUGCAUGUGUAAGUAUAAGCGAUUGUACUGUGAGACUGCGAACGGCUCAUUAUAUCAGUAAUAAUUUCUUCGGUAGUUUCUUUUAUAUGGAUACCUGCAGUAAUUCUGGAAAUAAUACAUGCUGUAAGAGCCCUGUAUGGGGCUGCACUUAUUAGAUUGAAGCCGAUUUUAUUGGUGAAUCAUGAUAAUUGAGCAGAUUGACUUUUUUGGUCAAUGAAUCGUUUGAUUUUCUGCCCCAUCAUUUGUCAACGGUAGUGUAUUGGACUACGGGGACUAUAACGGGGGACGGAAAGUUAGGGCUCGACUCCGGAAAGGGAGCCUGAAAAACGGCUACCAUAUCCAAGGAUACCACCAGGCCCGUAAAUUACCCACUGGGGACCCCCCAAGGUAUUGACAAAAAAUAUCAAUGCAAACCGGGUAUGCUUUUUGCUAUCGAAAUGAAAGCAAUGUAAAACCCUCAUCAAGGAUCAACUGGAGGGCAAGUCUGGUGCCACCACCCCCGGUAAUUCCAGCUCCAAAACCAUAUGCUAAAGUUGUUGCAGUUAAAAACCUCGUAUUUGAAUUUCUGGCAUGGGCGACCGGUCCUUUCCCUGAAUGGGCGAUCGUCGACUGUCAGUGCUAGCUUGAUCGCAUGACGGCUCAUACUGGAUAGUCGUCUUGCACUUCAUGCGAAAAAGAUCUUUCACUGUAAUCAAGCCAAGUGUUCCAAGCAGGUCUAAGACCGGUAUGUUUAUUACGAGAUGAAUAGAUAGACUUGGGUGCUAUUUUUGUUGGUCUGCACCCCUGAUUAUGUUUAUAGGAACAGGUGGGGGUUAUUCCGUAUUUAAGAGCCUAGAGUGAAUUCUGGAAUUCCGAAGACAGACUGAGAGCGAGGCAUUUACCAGCAUGUUUCUCAUUAAUCAAGAAGAAUGUCGGGAUAGAAGAUGAUGAGAUCCCAUCGUAGUCUAACCUGUAAGGACGCAGACUUGCGAUUGUGGGUCUAUUUUAUGGGCCUCAGCAGCACCACAUGAGAAAUCAAAGUCUUGAGUUCAGGGGGGAGUAUGGUCGCAAGGCGAAACUUAAAGGAAUGACGCGAGGGGCACCACCAGGAGUGGGACCCUGCGGUUUAAUUUGAUUCACCACGGGAAAACUUACCAGGUCCAGACAUAGGUAGAAUUGACAGAUUGAGAGCUCUUCCAUGAUUUUAUGGGGGGUGGUGCAUGGCCGUUUUUAGUUGGUGGAGUGAUUUGUUUGGUUAAUUCCGUUAACGAAGGAGACCUGGGCUUAUUAAAUAGUGCGGGGUAGGGCAACAUAGUACGUUUUAACUUUUUAGAGGGACAUGUCCGGUUUACGGGCAGGAAGUUGGAGGCAAUAACAGGUCUGUGAUGCCCUUAGAUGUUUUGGGCCGCACGCGCGCUACACUGAUGGGUUCAUCGGGUUUUAAUUUUAUUUUUUGGAAUUGAGUGCUUGGUCGGAAGGCCUGGCUAAUCCUUGGAACGCUCAUCGUGCUGGGGCUAGAUUUUUGCAAUUAUUAAUCUCCAACGAGGAAUUCCUAGUAAACGCAAGUCAUCAGCUUGCAUUGAAUACGUCCCUGCCCUUUGUACACACCGCCCGUCGCACCUACCGAUUGAACGGUCCGAUGAAACCAUGGGAUGUUUCUGUUUGGAUUGAUUUUUGGACAGAGGCAGAACUCGGGUGAAUCUUAUGUAGAGACAUUA